GCAUGAGGGAAAAUGAAGCUCAGAAGCUCAAUUUCAUGGUCAUUUUCUCACUUCUACUGAUUUUCUGUAAGUUUUACCAAAUACCCGUCUUAAUUUGUCACUCUAUUUGCUUGAUUUCAUGGUUUUUCUCGGUUGGGUAUUUAUAAAACCUAAAAAGUUUGGAUCUUUUCUUCAGGGUUUAGCUAUUUGUUGAUUCUGUGUGUUGGAUUGAUGGGUUUAAAACUGGGUUUCUUUGUUUAUGAGAAUGUGUUUGAGCUGUUAAUGAUGUUUGGUAGUUGAUUGGAUGCUUUAAGAUUUAAGGGGUUUGCUUAGAUUUGUUUGUUGUUGAAGCUUAUUUGAUUUUAGGGUUUUGAGUGCAUUUUUGACUUUUUUAUAGUCAAACCUAGUGAGUGUCAACUACAGAGUUUAAGAAUGAAACUUGUUACAAAUGUAACAUAUCGAAAUGUUACAGAAUCCCAAUUAUGUAUGUCAGUUGAAUGCACAAAAAAAAAAUCAAUAAUGAAGUCACUGGAAAAAAAAAAGAUGUUGCCUUUUGGAAUGCGGCCGGAGUGUUCGUAAACCGUUGAAACUUACCAAAUUGCCAUGCCGAAGUAAGUCGGCUGCUUAGAGAUUUAUGUGAUUAGGGUUUUAUUAGUUUUUCGUGCCUUGGCGGUUUACUGGUGGUUUGGAACAUGGAACUGAAACUGUCGGUUAAUCUUUUUAUUUUAUCUAUUUUUUUUUUUGGAAUAUUUAGUUAUGCAUACGUGUGCGCAUAUAAUGUAUAUAUGUGUGGGCGCUCGGGGGCAAAAGUGAAAUGACACUAAUUUUAACGUUAUUUUACUAAUUUCGUGAAAAUAACGUUAAAAAAAGAGGGGGAUGGUUAAUCAUGCAUCAUGUGGUGGCGUUGAUAGCCGAAAGACAAGAGAGUACAUGCACUAAUCGUCCUUUGUCUUAAUUGCUGAGUGCUAUGUGCCUUAUGUCCAAGGCUUGAUGCAAAACUACUAUCGAGCCAGGGGUGUCAUUGGAAGUAGCCUCUCUCUUCCUAACGGGUAGAGGUAAGGUUGUCUACAUCUUACCCUCCUUAGACCCUACCUUAGCUUUGCUAUUGGUGGGAUUUACUGAGUAUGAUGAUGAUGAGUUAUGCAUAUGUAUAUUAUAUAAAUGAAUCGUAGUUAGUUAUUUGACCUACAAUAUUUGUCCAAACCGACCGAACUGGACCGUGAACAUCCCUAGCUAAAGAAGCAAUUUGUUUCAAAUUUUUGACAUACAAUCACUUGCACUUAUUGAAUCUAUUUGUUUUCUUGGGUUGUAACCUACUAUUCACAUGGUUUAGGUGGGCUAACACUUGUUGGGAAUUUGGAAUAAUGUUGUCAAGUACAAAUCCUUAUUCAUUGUUCUAGUUUUGAUGGUUGAUUAUCAUAAUUAUAUACUUGAUUCCAUUAAACAUAAAAAAAUACCAACCGAAUUUGCAGACGUUGGUAAUCCAGUUGCAACUAUAUGUAUAUAUUGUAUGUUGUAGACCCAGGUCGUCGUUUUAGUUUAGAUGCUAUGAUGAUCCGCUUACAAAGUCCACAUAGAGAUAAUAUGGGUUGUGAUCGCAGCCCAUGUAAAUGCAACAUGCUAUGGUUGAUGUCCUAACCGAAGUGGUGAAUAUGUAGCGCGAGGCGUUCCGAAGCGUUUUGGUUCCAAAAACUUUAAGCGAAACUUCAAGCGUGAAGCGAGAGCUUCACGUAUACGAAGCGCUCAAAAUAAAAAAAUAUUGUACACAUCAAUAUGACCUAUUCUACUUGUUAAUCAAUAAUAAACACAAAAACAUGAAUAAAAAACACACU
This 1811-nucleotide long non-coding RNA is filed under the name Helianthus annuus (common sunflower). Its description in RNAcentral is "hypothetical non coding rna". Lineage: Eukaryota; Viridiplantae; Streptophyta; Magnoliopsida; Asterales; Asteraceae. The record is from RNAcentral.